Vitis vinifera (wine grape) is the source of this 613-nucleotide long non-coding RNA. RefSeq lists it as uncharacterized. The record is from RefSeq and is a predicted model, not a curated record. The transcript has 4 exons. Lineage: Eukaryota; Viridiplantae; Streptophyta; Magnoliopsida; Vitales; Vitaceae.
UGACCCUAUGCAUCACAAACCAUGUGAGGACUUAAAUGACAUCGUAAACAUGUAAGUUCUUCCUAUUAUUUUUCAUAGUAUUAUUUUUAAAUAAAAAAAUACAUUCACCUCAAACACAUUUUUUUUAUUAUUUAUAUAUAUUAAAACAUAUAACAUUUACCUAUUUUAAAAAUGUACCCAUUGAACUUAUUUACAUAGGGCUCUUCGAAUAUUUGCAAAGAAAACAUCUAAGAGGGAGCCAUCUUAGCAACUAGUGCAGUGUCCAAGACAAGAAGGAGGGUUCGAAUGUGGCUACUUUGUUAUGAGAUUCAUUAAAGAGAUAAUUUUUUAUCCUACAAUUAUUGCUUCAAAGUUUGGUGAUAAAAAAAAAAAAACAUAUUCUCAAGUAGAAUUCGAUGAAAUUAGAGGAGAAUGGGCUACUUUUGUGCUACAACUAAUCAUGAAUCAUGUUGAUGCAUCAUGAUCACCAUGCAUGGUAUACACUCUUGGGAGGGUGAAAUGGAGAAUAAAAAAAAAAAAAGAAGGCAACAAGAUUUUGGGUUUUUAAAUGCAACUCUUAUGUCAUACGUUAUAGGACAUAAACGUUACUUUAAUUGCAACUGAGAAAUUUAGA